RNAcentral lists this ribosomal RNA (93 nucleotides) under uncultured bacterium. RNAcentral's name for it is "partial 16S ribosomal RNA". It matches the Rfam family "Bacterial small subunit ribosomal RNA", at positions 1390 to 1482 of the family's 1533-position model. The record is from RNAcentral.
CCGCCCGUCACACCAUGAAAGCCUAGAAUGCCCGAAGUCACUGUGCUAACCGCAAGGAGGCAGGUGCCGAAGGCAGAAUAGGUGAUUGGGGUG